GAUGAACGCUGGCGGCGUGCCUAAUACAUGCAAGUAGAACGCUGAAGCUUGGUGCUUGCACCGAGCGGAUGAGUUGCGAACGGGUGAGUAACGCGUAGGUAACCUGCCUGGUAGCGGGGGAUAACUAUUGGAAACGAUAGCUAAUACCGCAUGACAACAGUUAUUGCAUGAUAACUGUUUAAAAGGGGCAACUGCUCCACUACCAGAUGGACCUGCGUUGUAUUAGCUAGUUGGUGGGGUAACGGCUCACCAAGGCGACGAUACAUAGCCGACCUGAGAGGGUGAUCGGCCACACUGGGACUGAGACACGGCCCAGACUCCUACGGGAGGCAGCAGUAGGGAAUCUUCGGCAAUGGACGGAAGUCUGACCGAGCAACGCCGCGUGAGUGAAGAAGGUUUUCGGAUCGUAAAGCUCUGUUGUAAGAGAAGAACGAGUGUGAGAGUGGAAAGUUUACACUGUGACGGUAUCUUACCAGAAAGGGACGG
Molecule: ribosomal RNA, 486 nt
Filed under: Streptococcus sp. oral taxon 074
Lineage: Bacteria; Bacillati; Bacillota; Bacilli; Lactobacillales; Streptococcaceae
Description: bacterial SSU rRNA
Rfam family: Bacterial small subunit ribosomal RNA
Source: RNAcentral